This is a long non-coding RNA of Ipomoea triloba (trilobed morning glory), 1126 nucleotides long. RefSeq lists it as uncharacterized. Lineage: Eukaryota; Viridiplantae; Streptophyta; Magnoliopsida; Solanales; Convolvulaceae. The transcript is spliced from 3 exons. The record is from RefSeq and is a predicted model, not a curated record.
UCCAUAGCUUCUAGCAGCAUACAUAUAGAGUUAUAGACAGUGCAAAAAUAGCCUAAUACAGGAAAAAACUCAUCAACUCUAUUCACUAUUCUUUCUAUAUAUGUAUAUAUAUUUGUCAAUCUCUGUAGCAGGGUGAAGAGGCUGCGUGGUGAUGAGUUGACAGAAGAUAGAGAGCACAGAUGAUGAGGUACACCGUCCGGCGGCCGGAGUGCAUGUGAUCGGAGAAUUGUUAGUAUAUUUAUUGUGUGUAUCUUCUUCUUUGUGCUCUCUAUUCUUCUGUCAUCACCGCCGGAUUCUCUCCACUCCAUACACGAGACACCUACCAAUUUCCACCGACCGGUACGAGGAGGAGUCGGGCAUCCACCUACCCAUUGGAAAUUUGUUAAUUUGUAUUUAUUGUGGAGAGUUUUUUUUUUUUUUUUUUGGAGAAUAUUGUGGAGAGUUUUAGUUCCAGCCAUGCUUGCCUCGACCGCGUUGACGUGUUUAGCCCGCAACCUUAACAUCUCCAAUCUCCGCGAAUAUAUUACACGCUACCCCAGAAAAAAUCCAAAGAGAAAAUGGCGCACCGCCCACACCACCCGCAUAGACACUCACCUCCGCCGCCGCCGGUAGUUCAUCACGUGCACCAUCCCCCGCCGCCGCCGGUAGUGCACCAUCCACCUCCGCCAGUAGUUCACGUGCACCACCCGCCGCCUCCGCCAGUAGUGCACCAUCCGCCCCCGCCGCCGGUUCACCAUCCGCAUCCUCCGCAUCACCACCACCACCAUCCCCACUAGAUACACUUCGGUCAUCUCUGAUCUGCAGAUCUGGUGCGUCCACAGUUGCGAUCGACUAUUUCACUAUUUCCAGCUUGAAUAAUAUGUGUCGUGAUGAAGUAAGCUAGCAGGUUCAGUUCCACGGUGAUGGAACAUAUACAUCUGAUCUGUGUCUGUCUGUCUGUGUUUUGUAUGAAAUUAUAGUAUCUGGGUCUUUUGAUUUCAGUCGGAAGUUCUAGGGUUCUACCACUGUACUAGAUAGUAUGAAACUAGGUUUCAUGUCGAUCGUGGACGCAACCAUUAUGUAUUGACUAAAUAAAUAUCUUUUUAGUUGUAUUUUAUAAGAAUCUGAUAAGUUCUAUUGGUUUCAA